AGAAUAAACAAAUCCUGGCACCUGAGCAAUUUACACAAGGAGGGGACCCAGCCUUCUUCACGGCUCGCGGCAGUGUCUCCCAUUGAUUCUUUCGUGCAACAAGGAGGGGACUCGCCCUUCUUCACGUCUCGUGCAACAAGGGUGAUCGACGCGGACUACCGCUGCCUGGUGGGCGUCGUGCUCUUCAACCACUCGGAGGUGGACUUCACCGUGAAGCCCAGCAACUGCAUCGCACAGAUGAUCGUCCAGGUGAUCGUGACGCCAGAGGUCGCCGAGGUGGAGGACCUCGAUACCAUCGUUUGGGGGGAGGGAGGAUUGGGGUCCACCAGCAUCUGA
RNAcentral lists this ribosomal RNA (336 nucleotides) under Triticum aestivum (bread wheat). RNAcentral describes it as "partial small subunit ribosomal RNA". Lineage: Eukaryota; Viridiplantae; Streptophyta; Magnoliopsida; Poales; Poaceae. The record is from RNAcentral.